Molecule: ribosomal RNA, 246 nt
Filed under: Triticum aestivum (bread wheat)
Lineage: Eukaryota; Viridiplantae; Streptophyta; Magnoliopsida; Poales; Poaceae
Description: partial small subunit ribosomal RNA
Source: RNAcentral
AUGGCCAAUAGAGUGGAUACCCUUCUCCAAAGGUAUUGUGCAGCAUCAGGGCAGCGCAUCAACAAGGAGAAAUCCUCCAUUUUCUUCAGCAAGGGCUGCUCCGAGUCCUCGAGGCAAGAAAUCAAACAACUCCUCCAAGUACAAAAUGAGAAGCUCUCCGAGAAGUACCUCGGGCUCCCUACCGAUGUGGGAAGAGCAAAGGAGGGUUCUUUUAAAUAUUUGAAGGACAGGAUAUGGAAGCAAGUA